UACGGAGGAUGCGAGCGUUAUCCGGAUUUAUUGGGUUUAAAGGGUGCGUAGGCGGACUGUCAAGUCAGCGGUAAAAUUGAGAGGCUCAACCUCUUCCCGCCGUUGAAACUGGUGGUCUUGAGUGGAUGAGAAGUACGCGGAAUGCGUGGUGUAGCGGUGAAAUGCAUAGAUAUCACGCAGAACUCCGAUUGCGAAGGCAGCGUACCGGCAUCCAACUGACGCUGAGGCACGAAUGCGUGGGGAUCAAACAGG
RNAcentral lists this ribosomal RNA (252 nucleotides) under uncultured bacterium. RNAcentral's name for it is "partial 16S ribosomal RNA". It matches the Rfam family "Bacterial small subunit ribosomal RNA", at positions 524 to 776 of the family's 1533-position model. The record is from RNAcentral.